CACGCAGGCGGUUUGUUAAGUCAGAUGUGAAAUCCCCGGGCUCAACCUGGGAACUGCAUCUGAUACUGGCAAGCUUGAGUCUCGUAGAGGGGGUAGAAUUCCAGGUGUAGCGGUGAAAUGCGUAGAGAUCUGGAGGAAUACCGGUGGCGAAGGCGGCCCCUGGACGAAGACUGACGCUCAGGUGCGAAAGCGUGGGGAGCAAACA
RNAcentral lists this ribosomal RNA (205 nucleotides) under uncultured bacterium. RNAcentral's name for it is "partial 16S ribosomal RNA". It matches the Rfam family "Bacterial small subunit ribosomal RNA", at positions 568 to 774 of the family's 1533-position model. The record is from RNAcentral.